UAUUGCACAAUGGGGGAAACCCUGAUGCAGCCAUGCCGCGUGUGUGAAGAAGGCCUUCGGGUUGUAAAGCACUUUCAGUAGGGAGGAAGGUAGUGUAGUUAACACCUGCAUUAUUUGACGUUACCUACAGAAGAAGCACCGGCUAACUCCGUGCCAGCAGCCGCGGUAAUACGGAGGGUGCGAGCGUUAAUCGGAAUUACUGGGCGUAAAGCGCAUGCAGGCGGCCUGUUAAGUCAGAUGUGAAAGCCCCGGGGCUUAACCUCGGAAUUGCAUUUGAAACUGGCAGGCUAGAGUCUUGUAGAGGGGGUAGAAUUUCAGGUGUAGCGGUGAAAUGCGUAGAGAUCUGAAGGAAUACCAGUGGCGAAGGCGGCCCCCUGGACAAAGACUGACGCUCAGAUGCGAAAGCGUGGGGAGCCAAACAGGAUUAGAUACCCCUGGUAG
RNAcentral lists this ribosomal RNA (441 nucleotides) under uncultured bacterium. RNAcentral's name for it is "bacterial SSU rRNA". It matches the Rfam family "Bacterial small subunit ribosomal RNA", at positions 362 to 793 of the family's 1533-position model. The record is from RNAcentral.